Molecule: long non-coding RNA, 1337 nt
Filed under: Olea europaea subsp. europaea
Lineage: Eukaryota; Viridiplantae; Streptophyta; Magnoliopsida; Lamiales; Oleaceae
Source: RNAcentral
CUAAAGAGUAAAUGCUUCACUUCUCAGUUAUUAACCUCGUCUCGUCUUCGCUCUUCCGGCGGCCGACCCAACUUGCCGACGGCGAUCUUAGUUAUCCAGUUGCUGCCCUGCUGGUCAUCGUUUUGUCCACACUCAGGGAGUUAUGGUGAGUAUAUUUUCUAUACCUAUUUCUCCCUUUGUUUCUUACGCCUCCUGCCCACUUCCCCUUUGUAUUAAAUUCUUGUAGAUUGGGAUUCUUUUGUUUCUGAUUCGCGACGAGCUCUGUCUGAUGCUCGUAUGACUCAAGCUCAUCAAAAAAAUCGUGCAUAGAAACCUGACUUCGUUGAGAUUUUUGUUGAUAUCCAACAAGGCAGCAACGACAAGUUAACAUCCUUGACUCACACCUUGUAUUUUCUAUUUUUUUGGGAUUUAUAAGUAGAUUUAAAAUCAGCUUUAGAUUAAAAAAAAGGUCUUGUUAUAAUCUAUAGAGUAUCAAAUGUUCAUCAGUUUUAGCUACUUCAUGUAAAAUAGCCACUGUUGCAUGACCUAACAUGAGUUUCAAAUGAAACCAACUCUUAUCCACGAUUUGCUUUCUCUCACAUUGUCUAGCUUACAACUACGGGAUCUUCGUUUCUGUUUACACUUACUUUGCUGUCAAUUGCUACCAUCUAUGUAUAUUCCAUUUAUCUAUGUAUUUUGGGGACUUCAUCCUCUGCAUUAAUAUUUCAUCCUCUGCAGUUCACGUGGAGGUUAAUGAUUUUUCACAUUGUGACCAUACUUAUGGGAUAAAAAGAUUUAUGGCAACAUCAAAGGAGAGGUGGAUUGACAAUCUGCAGUUUUCCUCAUAGUUUUGGCCACCUCCACAAGAUGCCGGGCAACGGAAGGUGUGGUUUUUAUGUCUUACACAUUUCUUAAGUUUGCAUUCACCUCAAUAUAUUUUCUCUGAUGGUACUGAAUCAUGUAGUUUCCCUUUGAUUGUGUGCAGCAUAUUUUAGUUGCUGAUUAGGUCCAUGGUGCAUGACUUUAAUUUUUUUUAUGUUUGAGCAGGUUUGUGUUUUAUUAAAUAGCCUCCUUGUAAUUUAGUACAUAUAAAAAUGUGCCUUACCAGUGCUGAAGGUUUUCACUGCUAUUUGUUAUGGGAAGGGUCUCGUGUGCCCAGCAUUGAAGUUUUAGGCGUUUGUUUCUGUGUUCUGGACCACCGAUUUCCAUCUUACAUUGAGCUCCUGACUCCCAAAAGAAGAUUUUGUGAAGUUGAGCACUUGCGCUUAUAUAAUUUUGAUUGGUUAAUGUCUGUCCAUUUGUUACUUGCUCCAGAUUCAAAAUUUGUAUUUUUUGCUAUAACUACUUUUGAUUUCAAG